RNAcentral lists this unclassified non-coding RNA (5515 nucleotides) under Monomorium pharaonis (pharaoh ant). RNAcentral describes it as "hemicentin-1, transcript variant X4". Lineage: Eukaryota; Metazoa; Arthropoda; Insecta; Hymenoptera; Formicidae. The record is from RNAcentral.
AGGAGCUGCUCUGGCAGUCGGUUGUCGGCUUCUCUCGGCUAGGGACAUGCGCAGCGACCCGCGGAACGACAGGUGCGCGUCGCGCCGACGACCGCGAAUCGCUUAGUUUCGGGUAAGCGCAUGAUUCGCCUCCACCAGCUCUGUCCUCGCUCCGACCCGCCAGUCGCUCGCGACUCUGUCUCUGAUUCGGUUGUUCGCUCCUGCUAAUCUCGUCAUCAACAUCUCUCUCUCUCUCUCUCUCUCUCUCUUUCUCUCUUAGAGAUUCGAGAUCAUCGGCAACCGAAAGAGAGAGAUCGUCCUUUGGUGACGUGAUCGUGCGAUCGCGGGUCCUCUCGUCCUUGUGAGGAUCAUCCGCUAGAUCCCUAUCGACUGACGACGCCCUGGAGUAGCGAAAAAACUCAUCAGCACUUAUCGAGCGCACGUGUUCUUCCCCUCCUCUCGCUUUUCUUCCUGUCAGUCUUUCUUCUCGCGGAAAACCUUCAUCGACAGACAACUCUCCUAUUUCGGGGGUGGUGAACGUGUUUGUUCAGUUUUCUUCCCUGUUCGAACGUUCGUCGCGCGUUGUUUUCCCUUCGAGCGCCAAUUUCGACAAAACGCGAUUUUCUUCUUAUAACGUUGAAUCGCUGAAUUCCGGAGUGCCAGUAAGCGUAGGUAUAUCGUGCUGAUGAAACAGUGAAUUUCCCGCCGAUUUCACUAAUUCGACGGUGAUUGUGGAUUACUGUGAUUAUCUUGGUGAACGCGCGCGGUGCUUUUGAUGAAUGUGGUGAGGAAAGUUUAGACACGUCGGCAUUCCGGCCUCCCUGGUGGAUCCCUCUCGAUCAUGCACCGAGGACAGGAUCUCUUCCACCCAAGUGUGGGAAUGCGGGCGGCCGCGGCGGUCGUCUUCCUGUUUCUCGGCGGAUUCGUCGUCCUACGCGGAGCCGAGGGGAGCGGCGAACCGUGGUUGAGAAGCGAGAAGCAGGCCGAGUUGGGAACGGAGGUUUUACUACCCUGUGUCCUGAAAUCACCGCAGUGCGAGGGUCUGCAUAGCAUCAAGUGGUACCACGGACCCACGAGGAUUUUCAUUUUCAGCGAGGACGCCGGGAUUAUACGCGGCAAUAACGACUUUGCUGCCAGGGCGGACAUAGAAUAUUCAUCGAAUUCAUCAAAAACGUAUUUGAAGAUACCUGAGGUUCAACUGGAGGACGAGGGUCUAUACAAGUGCGAGGCUACGUAUUUGGCGGUCAACCGCGAGUGCAACAACGUGCAGCAUAUUAUUCUCAACAUCACAGUGCAACCAGAGUUUGUACGUGUCGUCGAUGAAAAGUCGAAGAAUACUCUGAGUACCGGUGCCAUUUUAGGACCUAUAAAUGAGGGUACAACAAUAUCUUUGUAUUGCGAAAGUGGAAAGGGCAAACCUGUACCUAUAGUAGAGUGGUUUAAGGAUGACCAACUACUCGAAGUAACGAGCUCGUCAACUAUCACUGAUACCGGAAUUGGUACUGGCAGUAGUUUACUGGAGAUGCAAAUUACACGAGAAGAGUUAGGUGCAACAUUCACGUGCAAAGUCAACAGUAUUGCACUCGUGGAGCCACUCACAAUUGAUAUCAAACCAGAUGUACAUGUACGUCCGCUAAGGAUGGACUUGGAUGGCGUAGUUGGUCAUGUCGUGCAGGGAACGAAAAUUUUAUUGCAAUGCAAGGUGCAAGCCGCUCGACCUGCCGCCAAUAUAACGUGGAAGAACGGAACGCAUCUCUUAAACGAAGACAACGAGAGAUUCGAAAUGUUUGAGACGAAAAUAGAAAAAAAUGAGGACGAUACAUUCGAUACGAUAAGUUAUCUCGCGUUUACAGCAACGGUAUACGACAACGGCAGAACGUUCAAAUGUUACGCCGGGAAUACGGUUACCGAUACCGAAGAUUUAAGGCAAAUGAAGGAAGCAACAACGAUCGAAGUAUUAUACCCGCCGAUAAUUAAAAUGAAGCCAAAUAACAUGACCGUUAACGAGACAGACGACUUUUUAAUAUUCUGCGACUAUGAGGCAAAUCCGGCUACGCUAAUAAAGGUGAUAUGGUUACGAGACGAUGACGAAUUAGUGUUAAACGAAGAACAUUACGACGGCGGAAUCACGGAACAAACAGCACUCACGGUGAAAAAUGCAACUCCCAGCGACAUGGGUUCUUACAAAUGCAUCCUGGAAAACAACGCCGGGACAACUGUUUCCGAUGACGCCGUACAUGUUUCGGUCUUUUAUAAGCCGAUGGUGGAAGUGAUAAUGGAACCGGAAACACCUGUGAACGAAGCGGAUCGUCAGAACGUUUCGUUAACGUGCGAGGUCGACGCCGGCAAUCCAGCGAUACUGACAGCCGUUCGUUGGUAUUUGGACGGAGAUCUAUUGAAAGAACUUCCGGACUGCUCGAGGAGCAGCAAUGCGACGACAGCAAGCUCCGAGGAAUCAUUGGCAUUCUGUGACAUCGACCCCAGCAAACUGCUCCUGGAAUCUGUCGGACGUACCUUUCACGGCAAUUACUCCUGCGAGGGGAAAAACGAGGCUGGUUGGGGACCCACUUCCCCGAGCACACCUGUCAUAGUUUAUUAUAAACCCGGCCCGGCAUCGAUAACAUACGAACCUCGGCAAGUGGUGAAGAAACAAGCGUUAUCCAUCACUUGCUUCGUUUUGGAUCCCGGCCGACCGAGGGUGUCGGGCUUCAAGUGGCUGCGCGGCUGGCACCGACUUCCAGACGAGAACGAAGCGACGCUUUUCAUCGAGUCAGUUAAUUUAGAAACCGAGGCGAAUUUCACGUGUCUGGCUUACAACGAGGCCGGUGACGGAGAGCCAGCCACAACGUUUAUCGACGUAUCUGCGGCCCCGACGUUCAUUAAGAAGCUGCACUCGUACCGCGGCUACGUCUACAACUCGCCUAACGUGAGCAUUACAUGCUGGGUCGAAUGCGCCCCAAUCUGCAGUAUUUCCUGGCUGAGGGAUGACAUUCCCAUGGACUUCACGAAAACGAAUCGAUACUACGUGUCGAACGUUUAUCAUCCGCCUGACCCAAGGACCAACGACUUCGAGAGCAUCCAAUCGACCCUCGUAUGGAAUCUGACGGUCUGGCCGAACGGUCAGCUCGACCGUGCCGAGGAUAACGUCAAAUUCACCUGCAAGAGUAGCAGCAACGGAAUCGGUCCGGGCGUGGAGAGUAGUACUCACUUUCAUGUCGAGUUUCCUCCGGAGGAUAUUACAAUAUCGAAGAAGAUAAUCAAUGUGACAGUGGACACGAUACCAGAAACCGUCGAAUGUAAUGCGAAGGCACGACCGAAACCAAAUUUUCGAUGGUUCCGCGAAGGAUCCGUUGGGCCCAUUGCAGAAGGCCACAUGUUUGACUUGAAAAUGCCAGUACCACGACGUAGCAAUGGCACUUACUACUGUGAGGCGUGGAAUCGUCAUGGUUUUUUGAACAUCUCAAUGAUCAUGAAUGUUCAAUUUAAACCGGAAUGCCAUAUAGAGAAAGAACGAUUCGAGGGUCAGACUUACAUCGUUUGCUCAGCCGUCGGCAAUCCAAAAGAGACGGAUUUCACUUGGUCACUGAAAAACGAAAACGACACGUUGGUGCAAGUCGCUGAAAUGCGAAACGGAAGAAGUUACAUGCUCCUUGAUACUUCAGUCACCAACUUUCGGACGUACGUGUGCGUGGCGAACAACACAAUCGGCCAUUCUGAAGUGUGUGAACGCGACGUACCAGUCCACCAUGGAACUAAAAGUCAUAUAGUUUGGUGGUAUCAAUUGGAAGGUUAUCUGUUACUGAUCAUCGUAGUGGCGGUAGUCAUGAUAUUAGCCCUAAUACUAAUCUGUGUGGCCAUUUACAUCGCGUGCCGACGGAAACGCAGCCAAAUGAAAUAUCCCAAUCAAGCCGCGAAUAACAAUCAUGUGAACAGCGUGUCGGAAGUUCUGCCCGACUCCGGAACAAAGACGUUCUACGAAAAUUUACCUUUCCACGGGAUCCAAGCGCCACCUAACAAGUUGGUUUCUCCUAAGUUUGCUCGAGUUUCGGCUUUGCAUGGCACGUUGCAUUCCAUCACGACCUCGCCGUGCUCCUCGCGGCCACCCAGCAGGACUGUCAGUCUCUGUGAAGGCAGCUCUGGUUACGAGUCGACCAUGAGCCACCUAGGGCCCCACUACAACAUCUAUAACGUACCCAGGAGCAAUUCACCAGUGCUCAAAUACAACACCUUGAAACCGCGGCGGCGCAAGCAGAAGCACUCACAGCAGUUCUACUCGUUACGGCUGUGUCGCCGACACGAGAACAUUCGCAGGAAGUACGAACUAUACGCGAUACCGAUAUAUAAGACGUGCCCGCACAGAAGUGACAGCACGACUACAAUCGCGACAAUCGUACGCUCGAUGGAGGACGCGCCAUCCCUGACCCUGAGCCAGGCGUCGGCAUCGAUCAGCCUGAUUAGCCGAUCGGCGCCGUCGACCCCGAUACCGCCGUCGCCGACGACGCCGCCGCCGAUACCAGCGCCGAGGAUGUCCAAAAAAAUCGACCCGUCCAAACACACCUACCAAAAUGUUCCUCCCCCUGUUUUUCCGCCGAAAAACGCUUCGUUGCCUAAGCUUAAGACCGACAGCCUAUACAACUACAAAGAACACUACCAGCAGCAGCAUCAGCAGGAGAUGCAGCAGUACAGCUACCCCUUACCGAGCAACAGUUCGAACCAACUAACACUGCCACUAACGCGCAGCCUCUACCAUUCCUCGAUAAUUAGUCCUAUGCAGACCUCCCUCGUUCACACUAACAACAGCCGGCCGUCCACCCUGAUGCACCACGAGGCCGCCACUACUGGCAAUCACUUACCGCCUGCGUCGGUGCAUCGGGACGAGGAGCAGCAGCAGCAGCAGCAACAGCCGAAUUAUGGCAAUCACGACGCGAGACAAUCAUUAACGCGUCGGCACGCGACGAAUCGGCGAAACGAGCGUAAUCGGAAGUACCGGAAACACGAGCGAACGGCGAGCGAUCGAAGCAAGUCAAAGCAGAGGGAUCGACAGAGAGACGCUCCUUCACGGCGCAGCAAUGCUUCCUUUGUCGACACACCCGACCGCGAGAUGAGCUUUCGCCAAAUCCCGGAUCUGGGCGUGCCCGAGACGACGUACAAGAUCUCGUAUCCGCAUUACUAUGAGGAGGACGACAUCGCGGAGUGCUCCACCGACUAUCACAAAGCAAACUCGGCAAUGACGCGUCAGCAGCAGCAGCAACAACAGCUACCAUGGGAGCACCAAUCGAACCGCUGCACCGGCAAUAACACGCCUCAAUUCGCAGCGGACGCGGGCGACGCGAAAAAUCGCAGCAAAACGUCAAAGACGAGGCUCGGCGACACCCGCAGCAUACCGUCCGCGCCCACGAUAAUGCAGUACGCCGAGUUUCACUUCCGGGAUGUCGGUCAGGAGAUCGAUGUCUAAAGGAGGGUCAGCUGACAAAGAGCGAUACAUACAUUUACUAGGACAAUUUGGCAUCCGACAAGCCCUCCCUUCAAGCCAGAA